RNAcentral lists this ribosomal RNA (253 nucleotides) under uncultured bacterium. Its description in RNAcentral is "partial 16S ribosomal RNA". It matches the Rfam family "Bacterial small subunit ribosomal RNA", at positions 524 to 776 of the family's 1533-position model. The record is from RNAcentral.
GACGAAGGUGGCGAGCGUUGUUCGGAAUCACUGGGCAUAAAGCGCACGUAGGCGGCGACGUAAGUUGGGUGUGAAAUCCCUCGGCCCAACCGAGGAACUGCGCCCAGUACUGCGUUGCUUGAGGAUCCAAGGGGUGCAUGGAAUUCCCGGUGGAGCGGUGAAAUGCGUUGAUAUCGGGAGGAACUCCGGCGGCGAAAGCGGUGCACUGGUGGAUUGCUGACGCUGAGGUGCGAAAGCCAGGGGAGCAAACGGG